Molecule: non-coding RNA, 443 nt
Organism: Jatropha curcas
Lineage: Eukaryota; Viridiplantae; Streptophyta; Magnoliopsida; Malpighiales; Euphorbiaceae
Source: RefSeq, a predicted model, not a curated record
AAAUUGAGAAGUCUCAAAGCUCAGUUUGGGGAGCCAUUAAAUUGGACUGAUUACUUAUCAUUACCAUUUACACAGAAGGUAAUCACAGAAACUUUAAGAAUAGGAAAUAUUAUAAUUGGUGUAAUGAGAAAGGCAAUGAAGGAUAUAGAGAUAAAAGAAUAUUUGAUACCCAAGGGAUGGUGUGCUUUUGCAUACCUUGGAUGAAUUCAUCUUGAUGAAAAUCACUAUGAUUGGCCUUACCAAUUCAAUCCUUGGAGGUGGCAAGACAAGGACAUGAGCAGUUGCAACUUCACUCCAUUUGGAGGUGGACAAAGAUUAUGUCCUGGACUAGAUUGGCCAAGCUUGAAGCUUCCAUUUUCUUGCACCAUUUUGUUACUCAAUUUAGGUAAUUUUUUUUCUCACUCUUCUAUUUUCUUCCAUUUUUAUAGAAAUGAGAAAUUUUU